AAUAAGAUGCCUGACCAGAAAGGACUAUUUUGAUAGAAUAGAUUAUGUAUUAUAUAGAUACUCUUAUUA
RNAcentral lists this transfer RNA (69 nucleotides) under Eysarcoris ventralis. Its description in RNAcentral is "tRNA-Ile". Lineage: Eukaryota; Metazoa; Arthropoda; Insecta; Hemiptera; Pentatomidae. The record is from RNAcentral.